Non-coding RNA from Podarcis lilfordi (Lilford's wall lizard), 76 nucleotides. NCBI's taxonomy places the organism in Eukaryota, Metazoa, Chordata, Lepidosauria, Squamata, Lacertidae. The record is from the annotation of a GenBank genome assembly.
CCUCAGUUGUGGUUCCCAGCAAGAUAGCAUGAGACUCUUAAUCUCAUGGUUGUGGGUUCGAACCACACAUUGGGGG